RNAcentral lists this ribosomal RNA (468 nucleotides) under uncultured bacterium. RNAcentral describes it as "partial 16S ribosomal RNA". It matches the Rfam family "Bacterial small subunit ribosomal RNA", at positions 28 to 507 of the family's 1533-position model. The record is from RNAcentral.
GACGAACGCUGGCGGCGUGCUUAACACAUGCAAGUCGAACGGAAAGGCCCUGCGUUUGUGGGGUGCUCGAGUGGCGAACGGGGGAGUAACACGUGAGUAACCUGCCCUUGACUUUGGGAUAACUUCAGGAAACUGGGGCUAAUACCGGAUAGGAGCUCCUGCUGCAUGUUGGGGGUUGGAAAGUUUCGGCGGUUGGGGAUGGACUCGCGGCUUAUCAGCUUGUUGGUGGGGUAGUGGCGUACCAAGGCUUUGACGGGUAGCCGGCCUGAGAGGGUGAACGGCCACAUUGGGACUGAGAUACGGACCAGACUCCAACGGGACGCAGUAGUCGAGAAUAUUGCAGAAUAAGCGGAAGCCUGAUGCAGAGGCGUCGCGAGCGGGAUGACGUGUUUCGGGGUGUGAACAGAUUUGGCAUGAGACGAAGAGUGAGUGACGGUAAUGGGUAAAGAAGCAACGGCUAACUACGUG